UAGACUGCAACAGGGACGUACUGGGACUGAAAUUCAGCCCGGGACUUUAAGAUGGAGAGGCCUUUUACGCGAGUGCCCAUGGUGCACGAGCAGGAUUUUUUGCACAUUUAAUUCUAAUAGUGUUUUUAUAGUAUAAAGAGAAUCAGAUUAUGCUGAAGACCUUAAAGAAACUUUAGGAUAACACCUGCCUCCUCAGGUUGUAUAAGCAAGUCACCACUGAACUAAACACAACCAGGUCAGCAAAACCUAAUCUCGAACACAUAAGUCACAGUAUACUGCUAACUACCAGCAUGUCAUGUGUACACUCUUAUGAAAAAUGGUUCUUCAAAGGUUCUGAAAUGAUGGUAUAGGUUCUAUAUAGAACCAUAGCUUACUGAAGAACCCUUUUUUGCUGAAAUGGUUCUUUGUCUUGGCAAAAGGGUUCUUUUUCCCCUCCUUUUUUGAUUUUAAAUUUAGUCAGUUAUUUUCAAGCUGCCUCUUGAUUAUUUUCACCUGUAAAAGCCCUGAAUCAUCAGUCCUGCUGAACUGCCUGCAGACUAACAUCACAAACAGGUAAGAGAGGAAAAUAAUCAUCAUUUACUGUUAAAAACAUUUUGAAAAUUGAAGUUUUGUGUGUUCUUAUUGUAAUUUAUUUAUUUUAUAACAGGUAAGCUUUAUACUGAAAGCUUCAUUCCCUUUAAAGCAGAGUUUUUAUAUUUGAGGUAAUCUUGCUGGGAGUGAAGGCAGUGCGUAUGAUCGCUUGAUAUGAGACACACAUACUGUAUUUAAAGGUCAACUUUAUACGUAAGCUUCAUUCCAUUUAUAACAGAGUUUUCAUAUGCGAGGUAAUCUUGCUGCGAGUGAAGGCAGUGCGUAUGACCACUUGAUAUAGACACAUUCUAUUUUUAAAGGUCAACAUACUGUAAGCUUCAUUCCCUUUAAAGCAGAGUUUUCAUAUGUGAGGUAAUCUUACUGGGAGUGAAGGCAGUGCAUAUGACCACUUGAUAUGAAAGACACAUCCUGUUUUUAAAGGUGGAUCAUGAGUGAAGCUCUGCAGGUCUGCCAUUAGCUUGAUAACAGUGGUUUAUGUGAAUUGAGUGAAUUCAAUUUAUAAAUAAAUCUUUCACCAAGCAUUCACCUAUUUACUGACAAAACAGAUCCAAAUCUUGUUCAGCCUGAUGCUCAACCUUGUAUGAUGAUGACCACAGCCAGGUGAUGGAGAUCUGUUUUAAUCACAGCCUGCGUCUCAAGAUCAACAUGACAAUAGCAGACCAUUUCUUAUCUUACUCUUAUCUGACUAAAUGUUCAGCAUCCAUUGCAACAAAACAAAGAACAUUAGAUGGAGUAUUGGAGUAUUGGAUGAUCCCGUAAAGAAAAUAAUAUGGACUUUUUUGGUGAGAUUCUACAAAGAUUGACACAAUCCUAUUGACUUUUAUUUUUACAGUUAAUAAUGCAUUAUAAACAUCCCAUUCAUUUGUAUUCUAUGUCAUCGAUCUGUUUGUGCUAAAAUGUAUACAUCUGAAUAUAAUGUCAAUAAUAUGUUAAUAUUCAGGAUUUAUUAUCAUUUGCAUGUUUUGAUGUUGCAUAUUAUGAUUUUAUUGAUUUCAUGUAAUUGUUGUCUAUUUAAAAUUAUUUUAAUUGCCAAUUUUUUUUUUACUUUAUUUAAUAUUGAAGCUGUUAU
Misgurnus anguillicaudatus (oriental weatherfish) is the source of this 1660-nucleotide non-coding RNA. NCBI's taxonomy places the organism in Eukaryota, Metazoa, Chordata, Actinopteri, Cypriniformes, Cobitidae. The record is from RefSeq and is a predicted model, not a curated record.